Molecule: ribosomal RNA, 507 nt
Filed under: uncultured bacterium
Lineage: Bacteria
Description: bacterial SSU rRNA
Rfam family: Bacterial small subunit ribosomal RNA
Source: RNAcentral
GAUGAACGCUAGCUACAGGCUUAACACAUGCAAGUCGAGGGGAAACGAUAUUGGAAGCUUGCUUUUUCUAGGCGUCGACCGGCGCACGGGUGAGUAACGCGUAUCCAACCUGCCCACCACUUGGGGAUAACCUUGCGAAAGUAAGACUAAUACCCAAUGACGUCUCUAGAAGACAUCUGAAAGAGAUUAAAGAUUUAUCGGUGAUGGAUGGGGAUGCGUCUGAUUAGCUUGUUGGCGGGGUAACGGCCCACCAAGGCGACGAUCAGUAGGGGUUCUGAGAGGAAGGUCCCCCCACAUUGGAACUGAGACACGGUCCAAACUCCUACGGGAGGCAGCAGUGAGGAAUAUUGGUCAAUGGACGAGAGUCUGAACCAGCCAAGUAGCGUGCAGGAUGACGGCCCUAUGGGUUGUAAACUGCUUUUAUAAGGGAAUAAAGUGGGAGUCGUGACUCUUUUUGCAUGUACCUUAUGAAUAAGGACCGGCUAAUUCCGUGCCAGCAGCCGCGGU